CCUACGAGGAGCAGCAGUGGGGAAUAUUGGGCAAUGGAGGCAACUCUGACCCAGCAACGCCGCGUGAAGGAAGAAGGCAUUAGGGUUGUAAACUUAUGUUGUAAAGGAAGAAAAGAAUGACGGUACUUUAAAAGAAAGCUCAGGCUAACUAUGUGCCAGCAGCCGCGGUAAGACAUAGGGGGCAAGCGUGGUUCGGAAUUAGUGGGCGUAAAGGGAGCGAAGGCGGGAAAUUAAGUUGAGAGUGAAAGCAUUGAACUCAACCCAAGAAAAGCUCUUAAUACUGGUUUUCUAGAGUGUGGGAGAGGUAAGUGGAAUUCCUGGUGUAGCGGUGAAAUGCGUAGAGAUUAGGAGGAACAUCAGAGGCGAAGGCGACUUACUGGACCAUAACUGACGCUGAGGCUCGAAAGCGUGGGGAGCAAACAGGAUUAGAUACCCCAGUAGUC
RNAcentral lists this ribosomal RNA (443 nucleotides) under uncultured bacterium. RNAcentral's name for it is "partial 16S ribosomal RNA". It matches the Rfam family "Bacterial small subunit ribosomal RNA", at positions 338 to 795 of the family's 1533-position model. The record is from RNAcentral.